UAGGGAAUUUUCGUCAAUGGGCGCAAGCCUGAACGAGCGAUGCCGCGUGAGUGAAGAAGGCCUUCGGUCGUAAAGCUCUGUUGCGGGGGAAAAAAGGGACAGCAUCAGGAAAUGGGUGCUGACUGAUGGUGCCCCGCCAGAAAGUCACGGCUAACUACGUGCCAGCAGCCGCGUAAUACAUAGCU
Molecule: ribosomal RNA, 185 nt
Filed under: uncultured bacterium
Lineage: Bacteria
Description: partial 16S ribosomal RNA
Rfam family: Bacterial small subunit ribosomal RNA
Source: RNAcentral